Molecule: transfer RNA, 72 nt
Filed under: Flexistipes sinusarabici DSM 4947
Lineage: Bacteria; Pseudomonadati; Deferribacterota; Deferribacteres; Deferribacterales; Flexistipitaceae
Also listed under: 2 other names
Description: tRNA-Cys (GCA) (tRNA-Cys-GCA-1-1)
Rfam family: tRNA
About the family: Transfer RNA (tRNA) molecules are approximately 80 nucleotides in length. Their secondary structure includes four short double-helical elements and three loops (D, anti-codon, and T loops).
Source: Rfam by way of RNAcentral
GGCGACGUGGCCGAGUGGCUUAGGCAGCGGCCUGCAAAGCCGUGUACCCCGGUUCGAAUCCGGGCGUCGCCU